This is a microRNA precursor of Phocoena sinus (vaquita), 92 nucleotides long. Ensembl annotates it as microRNA 21. Its record names the gene MIR21. The record is from Ensembl. Lineage: Eukaryota; Metazoa; Chordata; Mammalia; Artiodactyla; Phocoenidae.
UGUACCACCUUGUCGGGUAGCUUAUCAGACUGAUGUUGACUGUUGAAUCUCAUGGCAACAGCAGUCGAUGGGCUGUCUGACAUUUUGGUAUC